UUAACACAUGCAAGUCGAGGGGCAGCAUGGUCUUAGCUUGCUAAGGCCGAUGGCGACCGGCGCACGGGUGAGUAACACGUAUCCAACCUGCCGUCUACUCUUGGACAGCCUUCUGAAAGGAAGAUUAAUACAAGAUGGCAUCAUGAGUCCGCAUGUUCACAUGAUUAAAGGUAUUCCGGUAGACGAUGGGGAUGCGUUCCAUUAGAUAGUAGGCGGGGUAACGGCCCACCUAGUCUUCGAUGGAUAGGGGUUCUGAGAGGAAGGUCCCCCACAUUGGAACUGAGACACGGUCCAAACUCCUACGGGAGGCAGCAGUGAGGAAUAUUGGUCAAUGGGCGAGAGCCUGAACCAGCCAAGUAGCGUGAAGGAUGACUGCCCUAUGGGUUGUAAACUUCUUUUAUAAAGGAAUAAAGUCGGGUAUGGAUACCCGUUUGCAUGUACUUUAUGAAUAAGGAUCGGCUAACUCCGUGCCAGCAGCCGCGGUAAUACGGAGGAUCCGAGCGUUAUCCGGAUUUAUUGGGUUUAAAGGGAGCGUAGAUGGAUGUUUAAGUCAGUUGUGAAAGUUUGCGGCUCAACCGUAAAAUUGCAGUUGAUACUGGAUAUCUUGAGUGCAGUUGAGGCAGGCGGAAUUCGUGGUGUAGCGGUGAAAUGCUUAGAUAUCACGAAGAACUCCGAUUGCGAAGGCAGCCUGCUAAGCUGC
This 700-nucleotide ribosomal RNA is filed under the name uncultured Bacteroidales bacterium. Its description in RNAcentral is "bacterial SSU rRNA". It matches the Rfam family "Bacterial small subunit ribosomal RNA", at positions 48 to 737 of the family's 1533-position model. The record is from RNAcentral. Lineage: Bacteria; Pseudomonadati; Bacteroidota; Bacteroidia; Bacteroidales.